GCUAAAGGGAAUUGGGUAGAAAAAGCAGUGUGGGAAAAUGUGCAUUAGUCUUGGGGAAGAUACAAGUCUGUCUCAAUUCACCAGGCAUCUGUUGCAGGCUUAUAGCCAUAGCAAAAUUCACGGGUGGUAAAGUUAUUUUAUUCAAAACAGAUCUGUGUGUUUUCUUAAAUGGAGAUGUCUGUGUAUGCAAACAUUUUUGUCUUACUGCAUGUGUAGGCUCUGGGGGUGACUGGUGCUUAAGGGGGAGCGAGGCUUACGUUACAACAGUCACCACUGUCGAUUACUUUUUCGUAUCUAGGCAAUUUUUUUUCUCUUGCUUCAUUGCACAAAAGAGGAAAAAAAAUAUUGUGCAGAAAAGCUGGAGGGAUGAAACAUACAGUGCCAGUGUCCCUGUGCAAUCAUUUUUGCAAAGCUGUGAACUGAUUGCCUGGUAUGGUGUCCUCUGAAGCUCUGAAGGUGGAUUCUGAAUUGGAGAAGAUCUGUGUUGUGGUCAUCCUAACCUGGAUGAUUGUGUAUGUCAGAGGCUGUGUUGCCAUUCAGCAGAUGGAUUGGAGAGCCGGGCAGAGAGGAAAUCGAUGAGGUUCAGCAGGGUGAGGUGCAGAGUCCUACACCGAGGAUGGAAUAACUGCAUGCAUCAGUACAGGUUAUGGGCUGACCUGCUGGAGAGGAGCUCUGCAGAGAAGAACCUGAGUGUCCUGGUGGAUGACAGGUUGUGGAAGGGUCAGGAAGUUCCAGCAACACAAACCUGAACGAGGAUGUGCUGUAGGAUGCACCACCCAUCUGCAUGCUGAACAUAAUGAUGCCAGAAGUACUGCUAAAGGCAUGGACAAGAAUUGGGAUCUGAAGUUGGACUGGAAGCCACCAGAGUGAAUUCUUCUGAAGUUCUAUGUGACAUAGAGCUAUGAGCGCUAGGCUAGUUCAUGAGAGGGGGAGUUUAUGACAGCAGAGAAGCCU
This is a long non-coding RNA of Gallus gallus (chicken), 954 nucleotides long. NCBI's taxonomy places the organism in Eukaryota, Metazoa, Chordata, Aves, Galliformes, Phasianidae. The record is from Ensembl.